AUAAUAAAUUGUUUUUUAAUUAAAAACUAGAAUGAAUGAUUGAACGAAAAAUUAACUGUCUCAAAAUUAAUUAUAAUUUGAAUUUAAUUUUUAAGUUAAAAAGCUUAAAUUUUAUUAGAGGACGAGAAGACCCUAUAGAAUUUUAUAAUUAUUAUUUAUUUAAAAUUAAAUAGUUUUUUUAUAAAGGUAAAUUAUUAUAUUGGGGUGAUAAAAAAAUUAAAUAAAUUUUUUUAUUAUAAAGACAAUAAUAAUUGAUUUUUUGAUCCUAUUAUUUAGAUUAUUAGAAUAAAUUACCUUAGGGAUAACAGCGUUAUUUUUUUUAAAAGUUCAUAUUAAUAAAGAAGAUUGC
RNAcentral lists this ribosomal RNA (349 nucleotides) under Perreyia nigriceps. Its description in RNAcentral is "partial 16S ribosomal RNA". The record is from RNAcentral. Lineage: Eukaryota; Metazoa; Arthropoda; Insecta; Hymenoptera; Pergidae.